This 508-nucleotide ribosomal RNA is filed under the name uncultured bacterium. RNAcentral describes it as "partial 16S ribosomal RNA". It matches the Rfam family "Bacterial small subunit ribosomal RNA", at positions 30 to 523 of the family's 1533-position model. The record is from RNAcentral.
AUUGAACGCUGGCGGCAUGCCUUACACAUGCAAGUCGAACGGCAGCGGGGGAGAAGCUUGCUUUUCCUGCCGGCGAGUGGCGAACGGGUGAGUAAUACAUCGGAACGUGCCCUGUAGGGGGGGAUAACUAGUCGAAAGAUUAGCUAAUACCGCAUACAACCUGAGGGUGAAAGUGGGGGACCGCAAGGCCUCAUGCUAUAGGAGCGGCCGAUGUCUGAUUAGCUAGUUGGUGGGGUAAAGGCCUACCAAGGCGACGAUCAGUAGCUGGUCUGAGAGGACGAUAAGCAACCCUGGAACGGAGAAACGGCCCAGACUCCUACGGGAGGCAGCAGUGGGGAAUUUUGGACAAUGGGCGAAAGCCUGAUCCAGCAAUGCCGCGUGUGUGAAGAAGGCCUUCGGGUUGUAAAGCACUUUUGUCCGGAAAGAAAUGGCUCUGGUUAAUACCUGGGGUCGAUGACGGUACCGGAAGAAUAAGGACCGGCUAACUACGUGCCAGCCGCCGCCGUAA